GUCCAGAUCGCGCCGAACCACAGCCAAAGGCCUGCAAAGGCGAUGGCGACAGCUGGCCAAAUGCGUGUUGCGAGGCCCGCAAGGCCGGCUGU
Molecule: small RNA, 92 nt
Filed under: Rhizobium esperanzae
Lineage: Bacteria; Pseudomonadati; Pseudomonadota; Alphaproteobacteria; Hyphomicrobiales; Rhizobiaceae
Description: sRNA Atu_Ti1
Rfam family: Rhizobiales sRNA Atu_Ti1
Source: RNAcentral